UACGUAGGGGGCAAGCGUUGUCCGGAUUUAUUGGGCGUAAAGAGCGUGUAGGCGGCCAGGUAGGUCAGCUGUGAAAACUCGAGGCUCAACCUCGAGACGUCGGUUGAAACCACUUGGCUAGAGUCCGGAAGAGGAGAGUGGAAUUCCUGGUGUAGCGGUGAAAUGCGCAGAUAUCAGGAAGAACACCCGUGGCGAAGGCGGCUCUCUGGGACGGUACUGACGCUGAGACGCGAAAGCGUGGGGAGCGAACAGG
This 253-nucleotide ribosomal RNA is filed under the name uncultured bacterium. RNAcentral's name for it is "partial 16S ribosomal RNA". It matches the Rfam family "Bacterial small subunit ribosomal RNA", at positions 524 to 776 of the family's 1533-position model. The record is from RNAcentral.